GACGAACGCUGGCGGCGUGCUUAACACAUGCAAGUCGAACGAAGAGCGAUGGAAGCUUGCUUCUAUCAAUCUUAGUGGCGAACGGGUGAGUAACGCGUAAUCAACCUGCCCUUCAGAGGGGGACAACAGUUGGAAACGACUGCUAAUACCGCAUACGAUCCAAUCUCGGCAUCGGGACUGGAUGAAAGGUGGCCUCUAUUUAUAAGCUAUCACUGAAGGAGGGGAUUGCGUCUGAUUAGCUAGUUGGAGGGGUAACGGCCCACCAAGGCGAUGAUCAGUAGCCGGUCUGAGAGGAUGAACGGCCACAUUGGGACUGAGACACGGCCCAGACUCCUACGGGAGGCAGCAGUGGGGAAUCUUCCGCAAUGGACGAAAGUCUGACGGAGCAACGCCGCGUGAGUGAUGACGGCCUUCGGGUUGUAAAGCUCUGUUAAUCGGGACGAAUGGUUCUUGUGCGAAUAGGGCGAGGAUUUGACGGUACCGGAAUAGAAAGCCACGGCUAACUACGUG
Molecule: ribosomal RNA, 510 nt
Filed under: uncultured bacterium
Lineage: Bacteria
Description: partial 16S ribosomal RNA
Rfam family: Bacterial small subunit ribosomal RNA
Source: RNAcentral